Molecule: long non-coding RNA, 449 nt
Filed under: Homo sapiens (human)
Lineage: Eukaryota; Metazoa; Chordata; Mammalia; Primates; Hominidae
Description: HSALNT0032192
Source: RNAcentral
CUGGGAGGCACAGCGCCCGUGUGCUGGAGGCGAGUUGGCUCCGGGUGGGGGAGGCUGGGGUUCCAAACCAGGGCAGGGGAAUGGUGGCCCUGCGUGGCUCGUGGACCUCUCUCAGGGACCCCUCUCAGCAGGGGCCGGAAAAGCAGGCCCACACCCAGUGGUCAUUGCAGGAACUUCACUUGAGCUGGUCUGCUUGUGAGCCUGUGGUUUGGAGAGGAGAAGACGCACUUCCCCAUGAGAAAAAGGGAGUGAAACUUCCGUGCAUGGCAGAGCCUCAUGACAGAAGGAGCCUGGCUCCUUGAAAGACCGGGUGGAGAGAGCUGCUCACAGGUUGGAGCACUGCCCAAGAUGUUACAUGAGCAAGAAAUAAACUUCCGUGGUGUUUAGUCACUGCAUUUGGGUCUAUUUGUUACUGCACCUUAGCCUAUGCUAACAAUUAUAGAGUCUGC